Molecule: ribosomal RNA, 459 nt
Filed under: uncultured bacterium
Lineage: Bacteria
Description: partial 16S ribosomal RNA
Rfam family: Bacterial small subunit ribosomal RNA
Source: RNAcentral
CCUACGGGUGGCAGCAGUGAGGAAUAUUGGUCAAUGGCCGGAAGGCUGAACCAGCCAAGCCGCGUGAAGGACGAAGGUGCCAAGCAUUGUAAACUUCUUUUGUCAAGGGACAAAAUCAGGCUCGAGAGCCUGACCGAGGGUACUUGAAGAAAAAGCAUCGGCUAACUCCGUGCCAGCAGCCGCGGUAAUACGGAGGAUGCGAGCGUUAUCCGGAUUUAUUGGGUUUAAAGGGUGCGUAGGCGGACUGUUAAGUCAGCGGUAAAAGCCCGGGGCUCAACCCCGGCGAGCCGUUGAAACUGGGUGGCGUGAGGUGACGAGAGGCAUGAGGAAUGCGCAGUGUAGCGGUGAAAUGCGUAGAUAUUGCGCAGAACACCGAUGGCGAAGGCAGCAUACGGGAGGCGAUCUGACGCUGAGGCACGAAAGCGUGGGUAGCGAACAGGAUUAGAUACCCUAGUAGUC